GCCUUCGUGGUGUAAUGGUCAGCACACUGAGCCGGUAUUUCAGAGGUCCGCGGUUCGAUUCCCGGCGAAGACA
Molecule: transfer RNA, 73 nt
Filed under: Stegodyphus mimosarum
Lineage: Eukaryota; Metazoa; Arthropoda; Arachnida; Araneae; Eresidae
Rfam family: tRNA
About the family: Transfer RNA (tRNA) molecules are approximately 80 nucleotides in length. Their secondary structure includes four short double-helical elements and three loops (D, anti-codon, and T loops).
Source: Rfam by way of RNAcentral